UACGGAAGGCAGCAGUGGGGAAUAUUGCACAAUGGGCGAAAGCCUGAUGCAGCUAUGCCGCGUGUAUGAAGAAGGCCUUAGGGUUGUAAAGUACUUUCAUCGGGGAGGAAAAAACAAAACUAAUAAUUUUAUUUCUUGACGUUACCCGAAAAAGAAGCACCGGCUAACUCCGUGCCAGCAGCCGCGGUAAUACGGAGGGUGCUAGCGUUAAUCAGAAUUACUGGGCGUAAAGAGCACGUAGGUGGUUUUUUUAAGUCAGAUGUGAAAUCCCUGGGCUUAACCUAGGAACUGCAUUUUGAAACUGAAAUACUAGAGUAUCGUAGAGGGAGGUAGAAUUCUAGGUGUAGCGGUGAAAUGCGUAGAUAUCUGGAGGAAUACCUGUGGCGAAAGUGGCCUCCUAAACGAAUACUGACACUGAGGGUGCGAAAGCGUGGGGAGCAAACAGGGAUUAGAUACC
RNAcentral lists this ribosomal RNA (457 nucleotides) under uncultured bacterium. Its description in RNAcentral is "bacterial SSU rRNA". It matches the Rfam family "Bacterial small subunit ribosomal RNA", at positions 340 to 786 of the family's 1533-position model. The record is from RNAcentral.